Molecule: long non-coding RNA, 1927 nt
Organism: Loxodonta africana (African savanna elephant)
Lineage: Eukaryota; Metazoa; Chordata; Mammalia; Proboscidea; Elephantidae
Exons: 3
Source: RefSeq, a predicted model, not a curated record
AGUUAGGACCUGAAGGCUACCAACAGCAACGUGAGUGAUUUGUAAGAAGAUACUUGCUCCUCAAAUGACUGCAGCUCCAGCCAAUACCUUGAAUGCAGCCUUCUGAGAGACCCUGAGUCAGAGGACUCAGCUAAACUCUGCCUGAAUUUCUGACCUACAGAAACUAUGAGAUAUUUCUUUUGGUCACCUGCAACAAAUAUCCUCUGAAGAUUUUUUUUUAUGGAGUUUCCUACAAAUUCCCACAAAAAAUGCUGCAACAGUGAUGAACAAAAGCAAAGUGACACGCAAUGGAUCCAACCAUAUAUUUGCUUCAUUUUUAGAGAGAAGAAAGUAAGCUUCUUCAUGUACCUAGAUGUCAUCUUUGGGAGAAUAAAGAGUUGGGGAAAGAAUUUUGAAACAUAAAUGUUAUCAGUUUGGGUCCACGUCAGGAUGUAGAAACCCCACAGUGAUUUGAGCAGGGUAAGUUUAAUAUAAGAAAUUGUUAAAUUAUGACCAAAGAGUAACUAUAAGAUUUAAGAUAAUGCUAUCUGGUAUUCUUAGACUGAGGGGAGGGUACUUAAGGAAAGACAAACUUGCAACCAGGGCUCGCUACUCCAGGCUGGAGUUCAGACUUCCUUGGAAAAGGUGAGUUGCAAUACACUGGAUAUUAGAGAGGUUCUCUGGUUUGCCUGGGCUAAAGCUAAUCUGUGGUUACUGGGCAAGCAGCAAACAACCCUCUGGAGCUUAGGUGGGUACUGGAGAGCUGCAGCUGGUGGCUGGGUGUGCAGGCAUGCAGAGGGAGCAGGGAUUCUGGUGUUAACCCCCUGGGGGUUGGCAGUCCACAGGUGAGCCAGAGCUGGUGGCUGGGCAUGUGAGUGUGCAAGGGAUGGGGAGCAUCAAUGCAGAUAAAAGGCCUAGGGUGUACAGUGUCCAUGAGGCAAGUCACAGCCUGUGGCAAGGUGGGUGGACUUGCAGAGGGAAUGGAAGAAGGGCUGGAACAUGUGGUGGUCCUGUUAAGAGGGCUGUGGCAUCAGGAGGACAGUAGGAGACAAAUCCGGUGGUGGUAGUGGGGUACUAGUAUAAGAAAGAGGACCGGAGCAUGCAGUGUUCAUGCUAGGAGGGUCAUGGGAAGGUGAUCAGCAGGCCAGGCCUAAGCUAUGAAGUUGCCAAGGAACUAUGCCUCUGGAGAGGUGUCUGGGGCAGAAUACCAUACAACUGACUCACCUCCCAUCCUCCUGCAUUGCCCCUCCAGCACCUUCUACUGAGAAAGCUAAAUGUCAUACUCAGUGUAAAGGAGAAAUGCUUGAAGAAAUUCCAUCCCUUUUCACAGAGCAUGUAUUGAAGAAUGAAUUUGGAGCUGAGAGGCAAUACUUAGUAGGUGGUACACUAAAUCUUUACUCUGGAGAGACCAGAUCAUCCAAAAGAAACUUGGACACUCUCUUAACAGAUGUCUAAUUAACAGAGUGGCUGGAUUAACCAAUGUGUUCCAAAUUCUCCAUAAAAUGUAUCCAGAUUCAUGCUCAUUGCAUGAUGUUGACGCGUAGCUGGUUGACUCUGCUCUGGUAUGCUAUUACAUUUCUAUUUCCGUCCAAGUUGGGUGUUGUAUUUACUUGUAUUAGUUACCUAUUUGUUCCCAAGCCUAUUUAUAUUUACUGUGUUAGUUUUCUAUUGUUGCAUAACAAAUUAUCUGACCACUUAUACUAUAGUUUCUGGGGCCUGGAAUUCUGAUCAGCUUAGUCGGGCAAUUCUAACUUGGGAUCUCUCAGAGCUUGCGUCAAGCUGCUGGCUGGGUCUGCAGUCUUCUGAAAGUUUGCCUGGGGCUAAAGGAAGUUGAAAAACAGCUUACUCACAGAGCUGACAAGUUCAUGCUGGCUGCUGGGGAGCCCGUGUAGGCCUCUCCAUAAACUGACUGAGUGCUUUCAUGACAUGGCAGUUGGCUUACCCCCAG